CAUAGAGAGAACUAGAUAAAAAUGAGAUGGCUUCAGUUAGUUCUUCUCAUUGUGAGGCCAAACUGAAAAGGGUUAGGCAGUAGAAACAAAGCUGUUUCCUCUUCAGAUUUAAGAGACGUGGGCACUCUGAACCAAGGCUUUGCUUGUAAGGAAAAAGGGUGAGCAAAAUGGUCAAUGUUGAUACCAGGGGAAAGCUUUGUUAUAUAACAGGGAUAAUAAAGGCUGAGGUUUACUGAGUACUUCCUUUGUGCCAAGCCUUUUUAAAAAAGCACUGAUUUAAUCCGCAUUCACAGCUCCAUGAGGUAGGUACUAUUAUUAAUCUUUUAGAGCCAAAGAAGCUAAGCACAAGGAGUUGAGUAGCUUACUUAGGGACACACAGCUAGCAGUCCCUCCCUCUCAGGAGUGUCCAGUACACUUGAAGUAUAGGAUCUGGCAAGGACAGGGAGAGUUUGAGACUAUCAGUGACCACCUUCUGAGAAACCAAGGCAUGUCAGACCAAAAUAAAAAAAUGUAUUAUUUGGAAAAGCUAAGUUAGCUGCUCCUUAGGAAUCAGUUGUUUUAUUCCUGGAAAAUGUUUUCCACUUACUGCAAAUCUAUAUCUGACCUGCUGAGGAAAUCAUUUGGUGAAGUGAAUCCAGAAAGUAGAGAAAGUGCUUCAUUACUUUAAAUAGCACUAAGCCCGUUACAGCCUCGGAAUCGUCCCUUUUUGGAGUGUGAAUGCUUCCAACUUAGUCAUUUGGAGCUCAAGAGUACAAUUGGAUAUGCCUCUACUGAUAUCUUCAUCUAUUGCAAGAUGUGUAAUUAUGAUCUAUUGUGAACUAAAUAUACUACAGAAACUUAAAGCAUAAAA
Molecule: long non-coding RNA, 850 nt
Organism: Pipistrellus kuhlii (Kuhl's pipistrelle)
Lineage: Eukaryota; Metazoa; Chordata; Mammalia; Chiroptera; Vespertilionidae
Exons: 3
Source: RefSeq, a predicted model, not a curated record